This 137-nucleotide small nucleolar RNA is filed under the name Homo sapiens (human). RNAcentral's name for it is "partial U65 small nucleolar RNA". It matches the Rfam family "Small nucleolar RNA SNORA65". From Rfam's summary of the family: U65 belongs to the H/ACA class of snoRNAs which are thought to guide the sites of modification of uridines to pseudouridines. The record is from RNAcentral. Lineage: Eukaryota; Metazoa; Chordata; Mammalia; Primates; Hominidae.
UCAGCCACCCGCCACUGCACCUGACCAGGUCUCUGUUGGCUGGUGCAAUCCAGUGGUGAGCUGAUAGUAAACCCCAGCUUAGGAAACAGGGUUGUUCUUCAUGUGGAUGACUCUGUGCCGAAAGCAUGGGAACAGCU